RNAcentral lists this ribosomal RNA (405 nucleotides) under uncultured Anaeroplasma sp. Its description in RNAcentral is "bacterial SSU rRNA". It matches the Rfam family "Bacterial small subunit ribosomal RNA", at positions 358 to 774 of the family's 1533-position model. The record is from RNAcentral. Lineage: Bacteria; Bacillati; Mycoplasmatota; Mollicutes; Anaeroplasmatales; Anaeroplasmataceae.
GGAAUUUUCGGCAAUGUGCGAAAGCCUGACCGCGCAACGCCGCGUGAAUGAAGAAGUUAUUCGUAAUGUAAAGUUCUUUUAUUAGGGAAGAAAAAAUAAAUUGACGGUACCUAAUGAAUAAGCUCCGGCUAACUACGUGCCAGCAGCCGCGGUAAUACGUAGGGAGCGAGCGUUAUCCGGAUUUAUUGGGCGUAAAGGGUGCGUAGAUGGCACAUUAAGUUUCUUGUAAAAUUUCUGGGCUUAACCCAGUAGGGCAAGAGAUACUGAUGAGCUAGAGUACGAAAGAGGCAAGUGGAAUUCCAUGUGUAGCGGUAAAAUGCGUAAAUAUAUGGCAGAACACCAGUGGCGAAGGCGGCUUGCUAGUUCGAUACUGACAUUGAGGCACGAAAGCGUGGGGAGCAAACA